GCAGAAAUUUCCACAGAGGAUCAGAGUGAACACAUAAUGGAAGAGUCACAUCUUCAGCUGUCUCUACUGAGUAUACCACGCCUUUCUUCUCAGAUACCACAAAUUGCAUGGAACAGUUGUUUUGAGGAAAGAAAAAGUCUACUAUGGGAAAAAGCAUCCUUUUUCAUCACCAUGGAAGUGAUGGAAAUCAUCCUAACUGUGCGAACUCGCAAGAAUGUGCCAACAUGUCUGGCAGAAAUAAUAGCAUUUAACUGAAGGGGGAAACAGAAGACACACUGGCAUUUCCACUGCUAGCAAAUAUGCUAUCACUUUCCCUAAUAAUUACUUCAGGUUGCACAUGGUUGACAUUUACAACAAGAAACAAAACAGCAAUCAAAAGCAAAUACCAUGAAAGGUACAAACCUAAAAUAAUAAGAUAACUUGGAUCACAGUAUUUACUGAAAAUAUUGAUUCAUUUCUUGGAAUAUUCUUUGUAUAAAAGAUAUAUUUAAUUAUCUCAUUGGUGUGGCAAUCUGAUUUUCUUAUUAAUAAAAGUAACUUAUGAAAAUUACUAGAUCA
RNAcentral lists this long non-coding RNA (558 nucleotides) under Zonotrichia albicollis (white-throated sparrow). Its description in RNAcentral is "lncRNA (ENSZALG00000004812.1)". The record is from RNAcentral. Lineage: Eukaryota; Metazoa; Chordata; Aves; Passeriformes; Passerellidae.